This 1314-nucleotide long non-coding RNA is filed under the name Pan troglodytes (chimpanzee). RNAcentral describes it as "long non-coding RNA NONPTRT016703". The record is from RNAcentral. Lineage: Eukaryota; Metazoa; Chordata; Mammalia; Primates; Hominidae.
GGCGUGGCCCUCCUGCGCUGCUCCUGUGUGACCAGCCGCCCACGGUAACACAGAAACAUCUGGCAGGAUGGAGUGGUUGGCGGAAGACACAUCUGACGAGAUGGAAUGUUUUGCAGAAGAGCCAUGUGACCGGAUCUCUGGUUUGGCAGAGGAGACAUGCGAGAAGACGGAGCGUUUUGUCCGAACAGACAUCUGGCAGGGUGGAAUGGAGAGAACAGGUAUGGUGGAGAGAACGUCUGAGAAGGUCGCAGGAUUCGCAGGAGCAUCGGGAAAAGAUUGCCUAUUUGCCCGAAGGAAUGGCAAGUUCCAAAGGUCAGAGGCUCGCGUGAACUCUGUCAGGUUCAGGAGCAGCUCAGUGUUGCUGCUGGCAAGAGUGUGGUACGGGAAUGGUUGGGUGUGGUUUGAAUGUCUAGAAAAGGUGAGCUGAGGGUAUAUUUUUGAGCAGUCCAGAGCAGAAGGGGUAGAGGAUGUAUUCUGUGGGCCACAGCCACAUUCUCAGGAUGCUCGUGGCUGUAAAUAGUAGAUGACCCAAGUAAGAGUGGCUGAAGCCAUAGGCACCAGAAUUGUGGCAGCAUCGUCGUGUCAUGCUCACGUUUUCCCUUCCAGCUGUGCUGUGGGCAGUGUUUAGUUCAUGUCUGCUUUGCUGGCGGGCCGAGUAGCAACAGCUGCAGUUGGUGUGUUCUCUGAAGGCAGUAUCUGAAAGCUGGAGGGGUUGCUUUUCUUCCCAGGUGUCUUUUGAAGAGGCAGUCAAGUCAGCAGCUCGCAGUGACCUUCUGGUAACAUCGUAUGGGCUGGGUUACGGCACAUGCUGACUGCUAAGCCGGUCACUGGGGAAAACCAUGUGAUUGCUGUGAUGAGCUUAGAAUGAUCAUUCCUCCUUCGGGAGCUGGGGUGGGUUGAGGGAAUGAUAAAGAUCCCGAUAACCUUGCAUUUCUCCAGCGAGAAAGAAGAAAGAAAUUCCGUGGAUAGGGAGCCAGCCAGGUUUCCUGCAGAAAAUCAUGGGAAGCUUUUGAGCAGGGGAGUCAGAAGAUGAGCGAUCCCGUUUCAGGAAUGUUUCUGGUGGCUUACAAGGACCGUCUCCAGCAUGCUUAGGCUCUCUUAACUUUCCUAGGAUCCUGAGUAGGGUAUCCGCCAUUCGUCCUUAGGGCUCCGGGAUGUCUCGUUCUUACCGUGUCCCUGCCAACCCUGGUCCCAUCUCGUCAUGAUCACCCACUGUAGAAGACAGGAGGUGCUAGAAUGAACAGGGUCAGGGGAGCCCCGUUCAUCCCCAGGGUCCCAGAAUGAAGCAGUGUUACCAUGUACCCCUGCCCUUGC